UUUCGCAAUUCUCACGGUUAGCAUUCCACCUUCAAAGAUAUCCUCUAGGGUAUGGGUAAAGCUUCUGCAAACUUCUAUAACAGAACUGGUAAGUAAAUUAAAACUUAAACGCUGCAGUAUUACUUUGGAAUAGGAGAGCCCAAAAGGACUCAUGACUGUCAUAUUGGCAAUAUCUUAAAGGCACAAGCACCUUUUGAUUUGGGUGAUCCUAGCAGAUGUAGUCUUUGUGAAUAAGCUGUAAAUUUGACUGUUUGGAUCACUGAAUUCUAGUGCAGUGUGUCCCUAUAUAAAUGUUCUAGGUAAGUUCUUGUUAUAUUUACUAAGCAUUAUGGAUAAAUCAUCAAUCGUUAAGUAGGACAUUAACAUUAUCACGACAAGCUUAUGGGUGUUUUGACAGUACUGUCCUUACAAAGGCACCAGUUAUGUGUUAGGAUUUUGGCUCGUCAAAUAUGUCCUAAUUGGUUUAGGAUUGUUUUAGGAAAAUUAGAGGUAUACAGAUUCUUGUCCUAGAGGGAUUAGGAAAGAAUUUCAGUUUUCCUUAUUCAAUUUAGGUUUGGAUUUCUAGAAGUCUAUUUGGAUUUGGAUAAGUGUAAUUUCCUAGUCCACUUAGGGACAUGUAAGCCAACCCUAUGCCUAUAAAAAGGGUGCGGGAAGGCUUAAUUUUUGGAGAGAAAAACAGCCAGAGACAGACGAGAGUUUUGAGAUUAGUUCUAGGGUUUGCAAAAGUUCUGUAAUCUCUAUUAUUAAUCAAGGGAGCGGUGAUUUCUCUACCUAGAGAAAUCACAACCGGACGUAGGCAAAAGUUCUGCCGAACCAGUAUAAUUCUUGUGUGUUUCUAAGGUUUUCUAUAUUUGCUAGUCUAGUCUAUUGUCGUU
This 875-nucleotide long non-coding RNA is filed under the name Malus domestica (apple). RNAcentral describes it as "long non-coding RNA (MDOM_LNC017948)". The record is from RNAcentral. Lineage: Eukaryota; Viridiplantae; Streptophyta; Magnoliopsida; Rosales; Rosaceae.